Molecule: ribosomal RNA, 453 nt
Filed under: uncultured bacterium
Lineage: Bacteria
Description: partial 16S ribosomal RNA
Rfam family: Bacterial small subunit ribosomal RNA
Source: RNAcentral
AUGAACGCUGGCGGCGUGGAUAAGGCAUGCAAGUCGAGCGGAUCCCGCACCUUAGCAAUAAGGUGAGGGAUCAGCGGCGAACGAGUUAGUAAUACCUUGGAACGUACUCCGAAGACGGGGAUAACCCACCGAAAGGUGGACUAAUACCCGAUGGUCUCGCAAGAGUAAAGUCGUAAGACACUUCGGAAGCGGCCUAGGUCCUAUCAGCUUGUUGGCGGGGUAACGGCCCACCAAGGCUACGACGGGUAGGGGGUGUGAGAGCACGGCCCCCAACGAUGACACUGCGAUACGGGUCAUACACCUACGGGUGGCUGCAGUCGAGAAUAUUCGACAAUGGGCGAAAGCCUGAUCGAGCGACGCCGCGUGCGGGAAGAAGCAGCUUUGCUGUGUAAACCGCUUUUGCGUGGGAAGAACUUUGACGGUACCACGAGAAUAAGGGGUUGCUAACCUCGU